GGUUAAGCGACUAAGCGUACACGGUGGAUGCCCUGGCAGUCAGAGGCGAUGAAGGACGUGCUAAUCUGCGAAAAGCGCCGGCGAGGUGAUAUGAACCUUUGACCCGGCGAUGUCCGAAUGGGGAAACCCAGUGUGAUUCGUCACACUAUCGUUAACUGAAUACAUAGGUUAACGAGGCGAACCGGGGGAACUGAAACAUCUAAGUACCCCGAGGAAAAGAAAUCAACCGAGAUUCCCCCAGUAGCGGCGAGCGAACGGGGAGCAGCCCGGAGUCUGAAUCAGCUUGUGUGUUAGUGGAACGGUCUGGAAAGUCCGACGGUACAGGGUGAUAGUCCCGUACACGAAAAUGCACAGGUUGUGAACUCGAAGAGUAGGGCGGGACACGUGGUAUCCUGUCUGAAUAUGGGGGGACCAUCCUCCAAGGCUAAAUACUCCUGACUGACCGAUAGUGAACCAGUACCGUGAGGGAAAGGCGAAAAGAACCCCGGCGAGGGGAGUGAAAAAGAACCUGAAACCGUGUACGUACAAGCAGUGGGAGCCUACUUGUUAGGUGACUGCGUACCUUUUGUAUAAUGGGUCAGCGACUUAUAUUCUGUAGCAAGGUUAACCGAAUAGGGGAGCCGAAGGGAAACCGAGUCUUAACUGGGCGUUAAGUUGCAGGGUAUAGACCCGAAACCCGGUGAUCUAGCCAUGGGCAGGUUGAAGGUUGGGUAACACUAACUGGAGGACCGAACCGACUAAUGUUGAAAAAUUAGCGGAUGACCUGUGGCUGGGGGUGAAAGGCCAAUCAAACCGGGAGAUAGCUGGUUCUCCCCGAAAGCUAUUUAGGUAGCGCCUCGUGAACUCAUCUUCGGGGGUAGAGCACUGUUUCGGCUAGGGGGCCAUCCCGGCUUACCAACCCGAUGCAAACUACGAAUACCGAAGAAUGUUAUCACGGGAGACACACGGCGGGUGCUAACGUCCGUCGUGAAGAGGGAAACAACCCAGACCGCCAGCUAAGGUCCCAAAGUCAUGGUUAAGUGGGAAACGAUGUGGGAAGGCACAGACAGCCAGGAUGUUGGCUUAGAAGCAGCCAUCAUUUAAAGAAAGCGUAAUAGCUCACUGGUCGAGUCGGCCUGCGCGGAAGAUGUAACGGGGCUAAACCAUGCACCGAAGCUGCGGCAGCGACGCUUAUGCGUUGUUGGGUAGGGGAGCGUUCUGUAAGCCGUUGAAGGUGGCCUGUGAGGGUUGCUGGAGGUAUCAGAAGUGCGAAUGCUGACAUAAGUAACGAUAAAGCGGGUGAAAAGCCCGCUCGCCGGAAGACCAAGGGUUCCUGUCCAACGUUAAUCGGGGCAGGGUGAGUCGACCCCUAAGGCGAGGCCGAAAGGCGUAGUCGAUGGGAAACAGGUUAAUAUUCCUGUACUUGGUGUUACUGCGAAGGGGGGACGGAGAAGGCUAUGUUAGCCGGGCGACGGUUGUCCCGGUUUAAGCAUGUAGGCGGAGGUUCCAGGUAAAUCCGGUACCUUUUUAACGCUGAGGUGUGAUGACGAGGCACUACGGUGCUGAAGUAACAAAUGCCCUGCUUCCAGGAAAAGCCUCUAAGCAUCAGGUAACACGAAAUCGUACCCCAAACCGACACAGGUGGUCAGGUAGAGAAUACCAAGGCGCUUGAGAGAACUCGGGUGAAGGAACUAGGCAAAAUGGUGCCGUAACUUCGGGAGAAGGCACGCUGAUAUGUAGGUGAAGCCCCUGCGGGUGGAGCUGAAAUCAGUCGAAGAUACCAGCUGGCUGCAACUGUUUAUUAAAAACACAGCACUGUGCAAACACGAAAGUGGACGUAUACGGUGUGACGCCUGCCCGGUGCCGGAAGGUUAAUUGAUGGGGUUAGCGGUAACGCGAAGCUCUUGAUCGAAGCCCCGGUAAACGGCGGCCGUAACUAUAACGGUCCUAAGGUAGCGAAAUUCCUUGUCGGGUAAGUUCCGACCUGCACGAAUGGCGUAAUGAUGGCCAGGCUGUCUCCACCCGAGACUCAGUGAAAUUGAACUCGCUGUGAAGAUGCAGUGUACCCGCGGCAAGACGGAAAGACCCCGUGAACCUUUACUAUAGCUUGACACUGAACACUGGUCCUUGAUGUGUAGGAUAGGUGGGAGGCUUUGAAGCGUGGACGCCAGUCUGCGUGGAGCCGACCUUGAAAUACCACCCUUUAAUGGCUGGUGUUCUAACGUAGACCCGUAAUCCGGGUUGCGGACAGUGUCUGGUGGGUAGUUUGACUGGGGCGGUCUCCUCCCAAAGAGUAACGGAGGAGCACGAAGGUUAGCUAAUCCUGGUCGGACAUCAGGAGGUUAGUGCAAUGGCAUAAGCUAGCUUGACUGCGAGAGUGACGGCUCGAGCAGGUGCGAAAGCAGGUCAUAGUGAUCCGGUGGUUCUGAAUGGAAGGGCCAUCGCUCAACGGAUAAAAGGUACUCCGGGGAUAACAGGCUGAUACCGCCCAAGAGUUCAUAUCGACGGCGGUGUUUGGCACCUCGAUGUCGGCUCAUCACAUCCUGGGGCUGAAGUAGGUCCCAAGGGUAUGGCUGUUCGCCAUUUAAAGUGGUACGCGAGCUGGGUUUAGAACGUCGUGAGACAGUUCGGUCCCUAUCUGCCGUGGGCGCUGGAGAAUUGAGGGGGGCUGCUCCUAGUACGAGAGGACCGGAGUGGACGCAUCACUGGUGUUCGGGUUGUCAUGCCAAUGGCACUGCCCGGUAGCUAAAUGCGGAAGAGAUAAGUGCUGAAAGCAUCUAAGCACGAAACUUGCCCCGAGAUGAGUUCUCCCUGAGACUAUAAGUCUCCUGAAGGAACGUUGAAGACGACGACGUUGAUAGGUCGGGUGUGUAAGCGCAGCGAUGCGUUGAGCUAACCGAUACUAAUGAACCGUGAGGCUUAACCUU
This 2906-nucleotide ribosomal RNA is filed under the name Enterobacter kobei. RNAcentral describes it as "23S ribosomal RNA". It matches the Rfam family "Bacterial large subunit ribosomal RNA". Lineage: Bacteria; Pseudomonadati; Pseudomonadota; Gammaproteobacteria; Enterobacterales; Enterobacteriaceae. The record is from RNAcentral.